This 407-nucleotide ribosomal RNA is filed under the name uncultured bacterium. RNAcentral describes it as "partial 16S ribosomal RNA". It matches the Rfam family "Bacterial small subunit ribosomal RNA", at positions 30 to 526 of the family's 1533-position model. The record is from RNAcentral.
AUCGAACGCUGGCGGCAUGCCUAACACAUGCAAGUCGAGCGGAGCGGCGGACGGGUACGUAAUGCCUAGGACUCGGCCUGGGAGUGGUGGAUGACGUCCACUAACGGACGCUAAUACCGCAUCCUAUCAGCUGAGCCUAGGUCGGAUUAGCUAGUUGUUGGGGUAAAGGCCCACCCAGGCGACGAUCCGUAACUGGUCUGAGAGGAUGAUCAGUCACACUGGAACUGAGACACGGUCCAGACUCCUACGGGAGGCAGCAGUGGGGAAUAUUGGACAAUGGGCGAAAGCCUGAUGCAGCCAUGCCGCGUGUAUGAAGAAGGUCUUCGGAUUGUAAAGCACUUUAAGUUGGGAGGCGUUACCAACAGAAUAAGCACCGGCUAACUUCGUGCCAGCAGCCGCGGUAAUAC